UCGGGAAUUUUGGGCAAUGGGCGAAAGCCUGACCCAGCAACGCCGCGUGAGGGAUGAAGUAUUUCGGUAUGUAAACCUCGAAAGAAUGGGAAGAAUAAAUGUCGGUACCAUUUAUAAGCUCCGGCUAACUACGUGCCAGCAGCCGCGGUAAUACGUAGGGAGCAAGCGUUGUUCGGAUUUACUGGGCGUAAAGGGCGCGUAGGCGGCGCGGUAAGUCACUUGUGAAAUCUCUGAGCUUAACUCAGAACGGCCAAGUGAUACUGCUGUGCUAGAGUGCGGAAGAGGCAACCGGAAUUCUUGGUGUAGCGGUGAAAUGCGUAGAUAUCAAGAGGAACACCUGAGGCGAAGGCGGGUUGCUGGGCCGACACUGACGCUGAUGCGC
This 382-nucleotide ribosomal RNA is filed under the name uncultured bacterium. RNAcentral describes it as "bacterial SSU rRNA". It matches the Rfam family "Bacterial small subunit ribosomal RNA", at positions 355 to 754 of the family's 1533-position model. The record is from RNAcentral.